This 8069-nucleotide long non-coding RNA is filed under the name Mytilus galloprovincialis (Mediterranean mussel). The record is from RNAcentral. Lineage: Eukaryota; Metazoa; Mollusca; Bivalvia; Mytilida; Mytilidae.
AUUAACUUAGUCAAAAUUAAUACAGUUUAAAAUUCUUUGAAUUAUCAGGAUUUCCUCGAGUCAUGUUUCUAAUACGGAUGUUAUUAUCUAUAUGUACUAUUACAAUACUAGGUAUGUUUUAAUAUAUAAUUUACCAUAUUCUUGGAGUAAAUAACUCAUUAAUUUCACAGUAUGAUUAUAGCAAUGAAUUGACGUGAAUUCCAUAUUCUCCAAAAUAGUGGUUAGUGGGCUGAUAAACAUAGAUAUUUAAGGAUGACGUAAUAUUUUUCUGUCUAUGAACGAAAUAAAAUAACAAAAUGUGGUGCACACUGAAUUAACACUGCGGUAGCAGGUUAUUUAACAGUGUGCACCACAUUUUUUAUGUUAGUUCCGAAUAGACAGAAAAAAUUACAGUCUUUUCUUAUAAUUUAAUUCAAAUUCCUUUUAAACCAUUAGACAAACCAUGAAAAAACGUUGAUGACGUCACGGUCAACAAUGACUUAAAUUAAAUGUCGCAUGGGGUGAUAGAACAAAAUAACGUCAGCCAAUCAAAAGACGCGUUACAUCCAAAAUUAAAUUAUAACAUGGCAUUUUUCAUAUCAGACACCCUUGUCAGCCCUAGGUAAUUAUAUCAAACCGAGAGCCGAAAUGCUCGAAGGAUGAUUUUGACCAUGGGCUAAAUUUUACAGAAAGGCAUGUAAUAAUAACCGAAAGCAGUUCAUAACAAAAGUCAUAUCACAAGGUUAAGGCAAUUCUUCAAAUUUAAUGAAUAUAUACGUACAAAAUUGAAAACAACACGCUUAAUAAUUUCCGAAGCGCUUUUCUGGAUUUACCUUCAUCAGUAACGAUCAAAGCCAAACAUUUGAAAUUGGAAGAUUUAUAAAUUAGUUUUAUCAUGGGGUACAAUUAUACUAUUAUUUUCUAUCAGUAUAUGAUAAAAAAAAUAAAACAAUUAUCACAUGCCUCAAACUGUUAUCACAUGCCUUUCCGUAACGUUAUCGCAUGGCUUUCAGCUGUUUGGUCUUAUUAUUGGAAUCAACGUUCCGUCAACUGCUCCAACAACAUUUGGCAUACCAGACAUAGUAUGAAAAUCCUGCUUGAUUUCUCUCAAAGAAGGCUGGUCAAGUGCGAAUUUUAUUUCGUACAUAAAUGUGGAAAUCAAAGAAAUUGUAACUGCUGAUAUUAUUCUUCUAACAGAAGAACGGCUUAUUCCAUGGAUUUCUCCUAUCUCGGACAGGGAACCCCCUUUGCAUAGUACCUUAAAGUUGUCAAAACUUGAUGCAAAGGGGGUAUGGCGAAGUUUCUAAGUGUUGGCCUCUCUAAAUGAGGGGCUAGCACAUCUACCAAGUCAAAAAUACUACGUCUAUCUAAACGGUAUUUGGAAAUAAGUUCAAUAUCAUUUAAAUUGUCCAUAAUAUUGGUCCUAUCUCUGAAGACUCAUUUCUUCCGCAGUUCCCUGCGUUCGUUGUAUCUGAGUACAAGUAAUGCGACGGCCAUCUUUGCGGACGCUGCGAUUAAUCUGCGUUAGGUUCAAGUACACGCUAAUAACGUUCGCGAUUUGCACGCAAUGUACGACCAUCGCAAAGUACCUUUGUUUUAUGAAACGGAAUUUUAUCGUUACGUUUGGUUAACGUUCAAACGUACGCUAACGAUCGUUUUAUGACAAUAAUAGCAAUGGUACGUGUGUAGACGUGAAAAACACAACAAAAUAUGGUUAUAAACACCUAUUAGGAAAGUUAAGUGAAUAAACAAUUGUUUUUAAUACGUAUACUAAAUGGAUUUUUCAAAGUUUCAAGCAAAAAUUGAAAAGUUACUUCACAAAUGUUGAAUGUGUCCAUAAUGUUUUGUUGAUUUAUUUAACGUUAGUAUAUGUCUAACAUAUAUAUUGUUGUUUUUCGACUGUGUUGACGCAUAUGAUAGACAUAUUUCAUAUUGUAUGAAUUACAUUUGUCGUCCGAUGUUCGUAAACUUUGCAACUUUUGAACUUCUACCGUUACGUUUACUCCAUAACCACAUCAAAGGAUAUUGAACUGUUAUUUAUUAUCAAUUGUUGAAGCAUAUGAUAUCAAAAAAAAUUACCAAACGGAGAGCCAAACUCGUAAAUCGAAAAUAAACUGAGAACACCACGGCUAAAAAUGAAAAAGAUAAACAGACAAACAAUAGUACACUUGACACAAUAUUAAAGAAUAAGCAACACGAACCCCACCAAAAACUAGAGGUUAUCUUAGAUGCACCGGAAGGAUAAGCAGAUCCUGCUUCACAUGUGGCACCCGUCGUGUUGCUCAUGUUUUAACAAAUCCGGUAAAUUGUCUAAUUUGGUAGGUCACAUUCAUGAAAGAGAAGCGGACUGUAGUUACGACGUAAGGAAUAUAUCCGUUAUCAUCUGUGAAACGGUUGUUCCAUAACGGUCAACCAUCUCGAGAUUGCGGCCGUAAAAUUAUAGAUCACAUGCCAUUUUUCGGCACUUGGGCCUAUAUUAAACCUUUGGCUGUUAAUACAGCUGAAAUGAAAAAUGCAAUGUAAUAAUGGGAUACUAUCAAAUAUAAGGGGAUAUGAAAAGGUUUAUUUUAACCUUCUUUAAAAAAAACCAAAAUGAAUCCAUACAUAUAUCAAAUAACACCUUUUAUUUACAAGUGAUGUGCACGUGAUUUCAAGUGAUUAUAUCGAUGACUGAUUUUUUAAGCCUAAUUGCUGGGUUGAUGUUUUUUCGCAUUUAAUUUCGAUAUUCAAUUUUUUAAGUGAAAUAAAAAUAUCAUCGGUUUUUAUUACUAACUUUUUAUAUAUACCAUUUUUUAAAACUAUACUUGAAUUUGAGGUAUAAAAUGACAGAAAGUCCAUCGACAAUAUAACCGCUGAAUCUUGUUUUAAAAUUAAAUAUUUUUAUCAGAUUUAAUAAUUUUGUGGACUUUAUAGGACUUUCAAGAAAAAAACUCACCUCAAAACGCCCGAAUCUGUUUUAAAAUAGCAGUUAGAAACGAAAACGUGUCCUAGUACGGGAGUAAACCUUAUAAGUAAUGAUUCACUGUAGUUCAAGCAACGAUGUGGAAAGAAAACCAGUGUUACUCUAAUUUGAAAACAUUUUUAGCUUUAAAAUCAAUACUAUUUACGAUUAUUUUGGAGAAAAAAAGUAUCAUUGAUAGUUUUCAUAUUUAUACAAACAUGCUAUUUUUGGCUUUGUUUGGACUUUUUUGUUUGCUUUUUGACCUUGUAUGUUUGUCCCUAAUAUUUUAUUAACUGUGCAUUGGCAUUCAGGUAUCACAGAUCAAAUUUAUUCGUUCAUAGGGUGUUAAUUUACGUUUUUUGAUUAGGUUAAGCCUUCCAAUUGAUAUUUUAUUGUGUGGUUUUCUAUGUCGUGAUGUUCUGCUAUUGUUUCAGAAAAAGGAAGAAGGUUUGGUACCAUUAAAACGUUUCCAAAUGUGUGCACCUGUCCUAAGUCAGAAAUAUGAUGUUCAGUGUGAGCCAAGGCUCCGUGUUGAAGGCCGUACAUUGAUCAUGACCUAUAAUGAUUUACUUUUAUGAAUUUGUUAUUUGGAUGGAGAGUUGUCUUAUUGGCACUCACACCACAUCUUCCUAUAUCUAUUAUCAUCAUAUCAACAUAUUCAAAGGGUAUAAAAACCGUUUAGCAUCGAGUUUUAUUUUAGCUUCCUUAUCAUAAAGUAAUUUUAAAAUUCUUGAAAAAAGAAAUGAAAAUAAUAUUUGUGGUUGCGAAAACGCGAUUUUAGGACAAGCAUAUGUUCGGAAUGGUGUCGCCUUUUACUGUGUUUUAAAGGGUAUUCAAACUUCAAUUAUAACAUAUUGUAAACUCAUUGGAAUGAAUAUAUCCAAACAAUACAUUUGACAAAACCUGUUUUUUUUAUACUUGCCAUAUUAAAAAUGUGAUGUGAAUGGUAUUGUGGUUUUUUUUUUUUUUUGCACAUCAUUUCAGACAUAAAGUAGCUUUGCAUAAGUUUCUAUUCAGACUUAGUUGAUCCUGAGAGGGAUGAAUUUUCAAAUAGUGCUUACAUAUCUUUUGUGACGACCUGGCCUCAUGAUUAUCAAACUUCCAAGUACAAUUAUCGUAUGCAGACUUAAAAAUCAACAAAUAAGUACAAUGGAUUUUUAACUUCGAGUAAAAUGAUUAUCUACUCCAGUAAGCUAUUACAAGAUAGUAACGAUGGACAUUCUCAAUAAAGUUUUAAACAAUUCUUUCUUGCAGAUUGUUCUCAAGAUUGGGAAUUUUUUCAACAAUUGCCUGAUUCUAUCCUGUGGAAGGCUUCCUCAAUCACAGACGUUCUAUAUACACAAGCAAGUAAUAACUUGGCAAAAUGUGCCUUACUCUGCAAGAUUAACCUGUACUGUAAGGCAUUCUACUUUUAUCAAGAAACAUGUUACGGAUUAUCAUCAAUAACAGCAGAUUCUUCGACAAAUGCUUUGGUUAAGGUGUUUGUGAAACAACCAGUAAACGGUAAGCUUGGUUUUUAAACUGAACUGCAUAUAUAAUACUUGUCUUUACAUAUUUCUACAAAAUUUCACAUCGGUUGUCACUCAUUUCAAAACAACUCUCAAUUAUCUUCAAAAACAUAUUGCGUCUCUCCCUUUUCUCAGUCUUUCAUUACACGAGUCUGUCUCUUUUUAUUUGCGUUUGAAUAUACGCGUCCAUCCUUUCUGUAGUAUUUAUUUGCGAUUUAGAAACUUGAUUCUAAUUCGUGCUCUUUUGAAUUCGUGAUUUACAUGUAGCAGAAUCUAGGUCAAAUUUAGGUAAAUAAUUUUGAAAUAGUACAAUUGCAUACAUACCGUAAAGCAAGUGCUGACAGUAGAUCAAAAAUCUUUUUGUCAAAAAAAGAAAGUAACACCACUGUUUAAAAAGGUUGGUUGGCACCUUUAAACUAUUUUAACCACGCUACAUUGUAUAUGUACCUGUCUUUAGUUAUAUAAUAAAGGUGUUGUCGUAUGUUACUGUAGAUCAUAUUUUGAUUUUUUUUUCAUUAAUUUGAAAAUAAAUCAGGGGUUUACUUUUCACGCUUGUCAUUUCGGUGCCUUUUACGGACCAUGUGAUAUUGGUUUUACUUAUUGUCGAUGGACCUACGGCGAUCUAUAGUUAUUAAUUAGUUUAGUUUAAACAUAUUUAUUUAUAGUGGAUUGGAAAACAAGUUAUUGCAACUUAUAUUAUUCUCUUUCCGCUUUAAGGGUGCGAUUGCUGCCCUGAAGUGGCAUUACUUGUUCUUUGAAGUGUCAUUUGGUUUCUUGAAGAGUGUUGUCUCAUUGGAAAUCAAAUCACAUCUUUUUUAUUGUUUUUAAAAGUUUUCGUCGCAGCGGCUUCAAUUAUGUACAUGUUUAAUUCCAGUAUUUAACUUAUAUUAAUAAGAGUAUAAUUAAACUCAUGCAUGUGUGUUUCUUUAAAAAAGAUACCACACAAUUACCAUAAAAAAUAGUUAUAUCAAGGGCAAAUAGAAGCGGUGAGUGUUGUGGAUUACUAAUCUUUUGAUCCCAUUACUCAGCAUAGCAGAUAAAAUGGGGUAAUCAAUUUUCUAGUGAUUAAAAGAGUCACCUGCAUAACUCUCAGGAAGGUUGUUUAUAUAACAAUAUCAAAAUUAUUGCUUCCUUCACAAACAUUGCAUUUUGAUUCGAUUGUAACGAGUUUAAUGUUUUGAUCUCUUAGUUUAAACAUAUCUUUUUAUAGGUGAUUGGGAAACCAGAUAUUACAACUUAUAUCAAUCAUUUUUCAAUUUACGGGUGUAUUCCUUUAUUAUUUUUUUUUAUCUAAUGCUCUUCCUUGUAUUAAGAAAUAAGCGUGGGAUAUAUAGAUCUUUCGUCUGAAAUCCGUUGUUAUGUUGUGGCCUUCAUGUACACAGUUGGUCAAGGAUUGUCUUUAUACUUUGAAUUAAUUUCUUUGAAAUGUUCUACGAAGCUUUCUGUUUUCUUAUACACUCUUUCCGCACAGAAAACGGAAUGAAAAUAUAAAUGUCAUUAUUUACAAUAUCUGCAUUUGUCCGCUUCUUUGCGUUUGAAUAUCUUAUUCUUAUCAUUUUACCAAAUUUGAAAAUGUGAGUUUUUCCUUAUAAGGUAAGACUGUAAUUAUAUUUUUUCUGUCUAUAAAACGCGUAGCCGGUUAUUUUAAAGUGUACACAACAUUUUUAAUGUAAUUUCGAAUAGACAGGUAAAAUAUUAUAGUUAUUUUUUUAUAAUUUAAUUCUAAAUUUCAUUUCAAACCGGAGAUAACCAUGAAAAAUCGAUGAUGACGUCACGGUCACAUGACUAAGUUAUGUCUAUGCGCUGAUAAACUAAACAACUUCAGUCAAUAUGAAGACUCGUUACAUCCAAAAAUAAAUUAUUUUAAUAUGUUUGAAUAAGUUUAGGCAUUAUACUUAUUCAUUCCAUUCAUAGCAAAGAUUUAGAUCCAUAUUGUGAAAGACGUUUCAAACCAAAUGUAACUCCUUGAUGAAGACAAUGCAGAUGAAUACCCGGCCACGUCCACGAGUUGUUCUUUAAGGAAUUUUGGUCCUCAAUGCUCUUCAACUUCGUACUUUAUUUGGCGUCUUUAACUUUUUUUGGAUUCGAGCGUAACUGAUGAGUCUUUUGUAGACAAAACGCGCGUCUUGCGUAUAUACAAAAUUUAGUCCUGGUAUCUAUGAUGAGUUUAUUUAUUAAAUACAUUUUUUGUUUAAUUCGAAAAUGAUUAUCGUGGUAAUUAAUUUGUCAAAUCAAUUUCAAGUAUUUUGAUUGGUAUUGUUAACCUUAAAAACAUAAUAUAAGUUAGCACAAAGACAAAAUAUCUAUGAUUUCAAGUAAACAAAAUCAUCUUACAUGUAUUUGUAUCGGUUGUAAGCUGAUUAAUUUUAUGAAUUACAUUUUUUAUUUUUUUUUUUUAUUUGAUAUUGCAUAGCCUUACAUUUAAAUGUGCUACCUCAAUCGUUUAAGGCUUUGUCAUACUUUAUAUGAAAAGCCGACUCAAAAAUUGUGAAAUACAAAUCAAAAGGAAUGAAUCUAAUGCAUCUAAUGCAAACUGGGUCAUCUAAUCCCAACAACCCCCCCCCCAUUAUCUUCUGAUACAUCAAAGAAAAUUAAACAAUCAACGGUUUCAGACAGUCAAUUGGACAAAAUCUUGAAGAUUUCCAUCGUAUCAAUAUGAAAUUAUUUUUAACAUCAUCGUUACGAUAUUCCCGGGCUUUUAUGUCCUAUCAUGAUUUUCUUGAUGAGAGUUGCUGCUCACAAGGAAGCUAAUAAACCAAGAGAUCCAAAUGGUGAAAUUGAAAUCAUCUCUUUGUAAAUUAUAUGGAUGGUUGACUUUUAUGAAAUAUUCGUUUGACAGAAGAUAGCGGAUGUGUUCCUUAUGUUGUACCAAUACUAUUGUCCCAUUAGCAUGAUUAGACUUAAAACCGGGUACUGUGGAUUCAUUUAUUUUGAUGGAAACCAAUUUUCGUGGAUUGAAGAAAACUUGCAUUUUCGUGGAUAUUUGAUUUCGUAGUUUUCCGAAAGUCUGUAUAUAAUAUUACAGCAAAUUUAUAAUCCAUUGAACAUUUAAAUUCGUGGUUUUCUUGUGCCCACGAAAUCAACGAAAAUUGAUGUCCAACGAAUAAUAAUGAAUCCACAGUAUGUACUCUCAUGAUCAACACAACAUAUGAAGCAUUAUCUGACUACGCUUCCGGAAAACCUGAACUCAUCCCCAGUUUGUGGUGGGCUUCGUGUUAGUCUUCGGGUUUUUUUGUGAUUUGUUUUAUGUACUUUUAUUUGUUUUGUUUUUUCCUUUUGACUCAAGGCAUUUGCAGUUGUUUUUUAUCGACUUAUAGGUUUGAAUGUUCCUCGAUUUCCUUCGCCUGUAUCUUUUCUAUCAAGUCUCUAUGUGCAAUAUCAUCUGGCGACCAAUAAUAUAGAGAAAAAAUAUAUGGCACAGAAGACCACAUGGGUCAAAUAUUAACAAAUGUUUGAAUAUUUAUUAAUCUGAAAUAUUGAAUUUUGAAAUGUUUAAUUUCCAGAGUGUCAUGGCGAUGGUUUUGUAUACUAUAAUGGUCUGUGUCUGAUGAUGAGCACAAUACUGCUGACUUGGUAUGAUGCGAAAGACUACUGCGAGAGGAGAAAUAGUAACCUUCUUGUCUUGGAUACAGAGAAGAAAC